AGAAGCAUCAAAGGAUCAAAAUCAAGAAAUCAAAGCUAGAAAAGGUAAAAACCCUAAAUUCUAGAAAUCCUUCGAUUCGAUGUUAAUUGGUGCAAUUGAUUAUUUAAAGUUGUGUAAUAAGUAGUCUAUUAAUGUUCUGGGUUGUUAAAUUCAGGACCCAUAACAUCAAAGUGCUCAAAAUCAAAGUUUUUCCAACUUUUGUAAAACCGAAUUCUGUUAUUUUUGGGCAAAUGUCAAGCCUUAUAUCUCUG
This 251-nucleotide long non-coding RNA is filed under the name Panax ginseng (ginseng). Its description in RNAcentral is "long non-coding RNA (PGIN_LNC013165)". Lineage: Eukaryota; Viridiplantae; Streptophyta; Magnoliopsida; Apiales; Araliaceae. The record is from RNAcentral.